This 18-nucleotide unclassified non-coding RNA is filed under the name Mus musculus (house mouse). Its description in RNAcentral is "oocyte_clustered_small_RNA7132". The record is from RNAcentral. Lineage: Eukaryota; Metazoa; Chordata; Mammalia; Rodentia; Muridae.
UGGGAAAGGACCGCACGA